RNAcentral lists this ribosomal RNA (443 nucleotides) under uncultured bacterium. RNAcentral describes it as "partial 16S ribosomal RNA". It matches the Rfam family "Bacterial small subunit ribosomal RNA", at positions 338 to 795 of the family's 1533-position model. The record is from RNAcentral.
CCUACGGGUGGCAGCAGUGGGGAAUAUUGGGCGAUGGAGGCAACUCUGACCCAGCAAUGCCGCGUGAGGGAUGACGGUCAUUUUGUUGUAAAGCUCUUUUCUUUGGGACGAAUAAGUGACGGUACCAGAGGAAUCAGCCCCGGCUAACUACGUGCCAGCAGCCGCGGUAAUACGUAGGGGGCCAGCGUUGUUCGGAAUGACUGGGCGUAAAGGGUGUGUAGGUGGUUAGAUACGUUAGAUGGGUAAUACUCAGGGCUUAACUCGCGUGCUGCAUCUAAAACUGUUAGACUUGAGUACUGGAGAGGAUAGUGGAAUUCGUGGUGUAGCGGUGGAAUGCGUAGAUAUUAGGAGGAACAUCAGUGGCGAAGGCGACUAUCUGGCGAGCAACUGACACUGAUGCACGAAAGCGUGGGGAGCAAACAGGAUUAGAUACCCGUGUAGUC